Molecule: long non-coding RNA, 504 nt
Filed under: Homo sapiens (human)
Lineage: Eukaryota; Metazoa; Chordata; Mammalia; Primates; Hominidae
Description: HSALNT0384797
Source: RNAcentral
CCCUACGAUUAAAAACCUCAGGUCCCUCAGGCAAUCAUACCAGAUAUUGAAACAAAGCAAUAACAUAAGGACUGCAGUAUUCAUUUUAUUUUUAUAUUAUUUAUUUAUUCUUCCUUAGUUUCUUGAGAUUAUCAUCCGCUGAGGGUGGAAGGGGAGUGAGCAGACACACUCAGGAGGUGUCUUGAGAUUAUCAUCCGCUGAGGGUGGAGCUGAGGGUGGAAGGGGAGUGAGCAGACACUCGGGAGGUGUCUUGAGAUUAUCAUCCGCUGAGGGUGGAAGGGGAUAGAGCAGGCACUCGGCAGGUGUCUUGAGAUUAUCAUCCGCUGAGGGUGGAAGGGGAUAGAGCACACACUCGGAAGGUGUCUUGAGAUUAUCAUCCGCUGAGGGUAGAGCUGAGGGUGGAAGGGGAGUGAGCAGACACUCGGGAGGUGUCUUGAGGCUCAGGGAGUUAUCAAUUAUAGAAUGUUGUUGAGUUGGAGGAGGUGGCUGGUGGCCCAUCCUGUU